Picea glauca (white spruce) is the source of this 121-nucleotide non-coding RNA. The record is from Rfam. NCBI's taxonomy places the organism in Eukaryota, Viridiplantae, Streptophyta, Pinopsida, Pinales, Pinaceae.
ACAUGCUUACAACAUAUCGUUAAUGCAAGCGAUCCCAUUAGAACUCCAUAGUUAAGCAUGAUUAGGCUAGAGUGGUACUAGGAUGGGUGACCACCUGAGAAGUCAUAGUGUUUUACAUGCC